Molecule: ribosomal RNA, 18 nt
Filed under: Rhodotorula mucilaginosa
Lineage: Eukaryota; Fungi; Basidiomycota; Microbotryomycetes; Sporidiobolales; Sporidiobolaceae
Description: partial 28S ribosomal RNA
Source: RNAcentral
GAUUAGAUCUCAAAUCAG